This is a long non-coding RNA of Sinocyclocheilus grahami, 201 nucleotides long. RefSeq lists it as uncharacterized. The record is from RefSeq and is a predicted model, not a curated record. Lineage: Eukaryota; Metazoa; Chordata; Actinopteri; Cypriniformes; Cyprinidae. The transcript has 3 exons.
UUUUCCUCAGGAUCUGGCCAAUAUUGGACCGUCGUAUGACACCCAGAAGCAGAUUACGGCUAUCACGGGUGCUGGAGGUUUAAAUGGUGGAUCGACUUUUUCAGGUGGGCUUCCUCCAGCUGCUACAGGUAAAGGCCGAGGAGCCAAACGCAAACAGCAGCAGCAACAGGACGGAGCCGCGGCUGGAACGGCCAAGAGAAC